RNAcentral lists this long non-coding RNA (1627 nucleotides) under Monodelphis domestica (gray short-tailed opossum). RNAcentral's name for it is "lncRNA (ENSMODG00000036704.1)". The record is from RNAcentral. Lineage: Eukaryota; Metazoa; Chordata; Mammalia; Didelphimorphia; Didelphidae.
UGACAGGGGUGGGAGUGAACAACUCUGAGCCCUCCUGCAAAUCCCCACAUAAACCUCUUUCCCUUUUCUUCUGUUUCUAGAACCACCAUUUAUUUUCUAUCUUCUAUUUUUGCUGGAGUAGGUGGUUUUUAAUUUAAGGAUGUUUGGAGUUUGGGUUUCAAAAGGAUUGGGGGCUUGAUGUUUUGUUUCGGGAGCAGAGAACAGCUCUAGUGACCACUGUGCUACCAUCCAAAGGAAACAAAGAAAAGAGGUUCUUGCUCUUGGUUGGUACCACAAAAGCCUGGAGCGUCAGAUGCAAAAGGACUUUCUUAGGACCUAGCCCUCCCUUAGGAAGGAGGGUAUGGCUCAUGGAGAAGAAAAAUCCCCUUCUUCUUGAUACCCUCCUGACCUGUUAGCAGAGAGAGCAACCAAAUUAUUUCACAAGAGUUUUCUUUGCUGUGAGGAAUCACAGCACACUGACUGUUUCAAUUGGCAAUGCUACAGAAGAGUUGGGAGAUUCUUCCCAUGUGAAGUUUUCCUUCAAUGGAGCAGCUGGUUUUGUUAUUUGCAAGUUCAAGGUCUGACAUGUUUUGAGGUUAGUGCAUACAUGCAAGAGGCAUGCUUUGUUUAUUUUGUGAACACUAGAGUACAUAUGUUAGGUAAGAAAAACGUGUACUAAACAAAAUUAUCUCUAAAUUUUCUUUUAUCUACAAUAACCAAAUCCAAAUUUUUUGAGUACCUGCUGUAACACAUCCCCUAAAAACUACUCAUUUACAGUGGUGGUGCUAUUGAAUAUGCACUGCAGUUAAACUGGACUAGAUGAUUAUUUAAGGUUCCUUUCAGCUCAGAAUCCCAUGAGUUUUAAUGGUGGUGAUAUCAACCUUGUGUCCUAGGUACUUGUGAGAUUCUUAGUCAUGGAGAAACAUUGUGAUGGAGUGAAAAUAACAUUGAACCAGGCUCUGGCAGUGGAUAGAGCCCUGGAAUUGACAACAGGAAGAUCUCAAUUCAAAUUCUGCCUUAGACUUUUAUGUCUAUGGGAUUAAUCUCAAAGGGUCCAGGAACUUGAAUGGGAAGAAAAUUAUAUCUCUACUUUCACUCAUUUCUAACUGAAAUUUAGCUUUUACUUUAGUUAUUUAAAAGGAUUCUGAGAAUAGGUCCAAAGGCUUCACAAAACUGCCAAAGGGUACAAUGACAACAACAAAAAAAGGCAAAAUUCUGGUCUCAAGGUUACUUAGGAAUGAAGAAAAGCUACCCAGCCUUCUUAAGGAUAAAAUUCCCAGCCUUGACUUCACUUCUUACCAUGUUGCAACCAAUUAAACUAGUCAUCUCUAAAAUAUCCAUGUACCCUCUGGCCUGAAAGGUUGAAAGACUGAUACUUAACCAACUGAAACCCCCAAAGCUCAUCAUCAUGAAUAGGAAGUAAUCCUAUACACCCCAUUGCUCUGAUAAAGACCUGGUACUAUGAUCAGUUCUUGGUUCCAGGUUUCUUUCUUUCUUUUUUAACUAGGGUUUGGCAGGUGUCACAUUUCAUGGUCCUGAGAGACCAUCAUGUUCUUUUGGCCACAAAGAAGUGGGUGCAGUGAGGACUCUAAAUAGAAGUGCUACUAAAGACCCUCUCUCUUUCUUUCCUUCCCUUCCCCACCCAUCU